This is a long non-coding RNA of Homo sapiens (human), 663 nucleotides long. NCBI's taxonomy places the organism in Eukaryota, Metazoa, Chordata, Mammalia, Primates, Hominidae. The record is from Ensembl.
AGGCUUCCUCCUUAUUGCCAUUCCCAUUUCUUCACAACUGGGGAGACUCAACUGCAAACAUGGCUUAUUAAGGAAUCACCAGGAGAAGUUAGCCAUGAAAAGGAAGAACAUGGCUGCUGUUGACAUGUGAUAUCUCAGUGCUGGGCAUGAAGAUUUUUAAUGCUAUUGUUCUUUUUUAAAAAGUGGAAGUAUGUCUCAUCUUAGAAUAAUUAUGCUGUGCUCUAGAUGUUUGUCCUUGGGAAAACUGAACUUACAGUAGCUCUGUCACUGUCUUCCCCAAACAAGGCUGAAGCUGUGCUGCAUAUUCUUACCUAGCCUAGGAAGUCAUAAAACAUCACUCUGCUUCAUUCUGUUGGAUACUGAUGAGUCAAAACUUGCCAUUUUCAAAGGAAAAGAAUGCAGACACCUCUUAAAAGAGCAGGUAGUUAGAAUGCAACACUGGAAGAAUGUGAGUUUGAGACUAGAAAGAAAAAUUGAGGUAGCAUUCAUAUGGCAACUUCAUAUGACUUGAUGUGAGUAAAAGAGAUUUCUGCUGGAGGAUGGGGAAGUGGUCUGCAUGAGACAAAAGCUAAAAUUAUAACUUUGGGGAACUUUUGGAGGCUGAGGUCAGAGAAAUCUAAGGAGUUUCUAGUGCAGAGUCCUAGAAAUAAAAGGUGAAGAGAU